RNAcentral lists this ribosomal RNA (434 nucleotides) under uncultured bacterium. Its description in RNAcentral is "partial 16S ribosomal RNA". It matches the Rfam family "Bacterial small subunit ribosomal RNA", at positions 29 to 507 of the family's 1533-position model. The record is from RNAcentral.
AGCGAACGCUGGCGGCAGGCCUAACACAUGCAAGUCGAACGAACCUUUCGGGGUUAGUGGCGGACGGGUGAGUAACACGUGGGAACGUGCCUUUAGGUUCGGAAUAACUCAGGGAAACUUGUGCUAAUACCGAAUGUGCCCUUCGGGGGAAAGAUUUAUCGCCUUUAGAGCGGCCCGCGUCUGAUUAGCUAGUUGGUUGAGGUAAUGGCUCACCAAGGCGACGAUCAGUAGCUGGUCUGAGAGGAUGAUCAGCCACAUUGGGACUGAGACACGGCCCAAAAUCCUACGGGAGGCAGCAGUGGGGAAUCUUGCGCAAUGGGCGAAAGCCUGACGCAGCCAUGCCGCGUGAAUGAUGAAGGUCUUAGGAUAGUAAAAUUCUUUCACCGGGGACGAUAAUGACGGUACCCGGAGAAGAAGCCCCGGCUAACUUCGUG